AUUCUGGCUUUCUCUCUUGAGAUGUAGUACCGGGUGGUUGAUUCCUGGACUUGUUUGUGUUAGAUAUGUCUGUUUGUCAGCAUUCAUCAAACAUAAAUCACGCAUAUACAUGCAAGUAGUACCGGGUGGUUGAUUCCUGGACUUGUUUGUGUUAGAUAUGUCUGUUUGUCAGCAUUCAUCAAACAUAAAUCACGCAUAUACAUGCAUAAUUAUAACAUUCAGAUAUUCAUGUUGCAUUCUUUUCCAUAUAUCGUUG
This 256-nucleotide long non-coding RNA is filed under the name Lathyrus oleraceus (garden pea). RNAcentral describes it as "Pisum sativum (pea) long non-coding RNA (PSAT_LNC034297)". Lineage: Eukaryota; Viridiplantae; Streptophyta; Magnoliopsida; Fabales; Fabaceae. The record is from RNAcentral.